ACCUGUUCCUCUGAUUUGCUGAAUAAGGGACAUUACACAUCUGGAGUGCCUCUGGUGAUGUCCUCUUCUUCUGUUUGGAAAUUGUGCUCCAGUGGAAACAGGAAUCUCACCACUGAAAGAGGAAACUUUACAAUUAAAGGCACUGGAGUCGACCAACUAACUCUCUUGACACCUUAACGAUGCAUUAAAUUCCCAGUAACUAAUGCAAAUGGUUUAUAAUUUCCUAACAUUCAUUAAAACUGUAAUAAAGGCAA
Long non-coding RNA from Passer domesticus (house sparrow), 254 nucleotides. RefSeq lists it as uncharacterized. The record is from RefSeq and is a predicted model, not a curated record. The transcript has 2 exons. Lineage: Eukaryota; Metazoa; Chordata; Aves; Passeriformes; Passeridae.